AUUGAACGCCGGCGGCAUGCUUUACACAUGCAAGUCGAACGGUAACAGGGUGCUUGCACCGCUGACGAGUGGCGAACGGGUGAGUAAUGCGUCGGAACGUGCCGAGUAGUGGGGGAUAACGCAGCGAAAGUUGUGCUAGUACCGCAUACGUACUGAGGUAGAAAGUGGGGGACCUUCGGGCCUCACGCUAUUCGAGCGGCCGACGUCUGAUUAGCUAGUAGGUGAGGUAAGGCUCACCUAGGCGACGAUCAGUAGCGGGUCUGAGAGGAUGAUCCGCCACACUGGGACUGAGACACGGCCCAGACUCCUACGGGAGGCAGCAGUGGGGAAUUUUGGACAAUGGGCGAAAGCCUGAUCCAGCCAUGCCGCGUGUCUGAAGAAGGCCUUCGGGUUGUAAAGGACUUUUGUCAGGGAGGAAAUCCCUAGUGCUAAUAACACUGGGGGAUGACAGUACCUGAAGAAUAAGCACCGGCUAACUACGUGCCAGCCGCCGCAGUAA
RNAcentral lists this ribosomal RNA (499 nucleotides) under uncultured bacterium. RNAcentral's name for it is "partial 16S ribosomal RNA". It matches the Rfam family "Bacterial small subunit ribosomal RNA", at positions 30 to 523 of the family's 1533-position model. The record is from RNAcentral.